Molecule: long non-coding RNA, 312 nt
Organism: Pelmatolapia mariae (spotted tilapia)
Lineage: Eukaryota; Metazoa; Chordata; Actinopteri; Cichliformes; Cichlidae
Exons: 3
Source: RefSeq, a predicted model, not a curated record
UAAGGAUCCUUAGAGAACAAGUGGAGAGCCUGAAUGCGACCAAAAAUGAGCUGGGUGUGGAUGACGACACACUGCAGCAAUGGGUGGCCGAUGUGCAGAAAUGGGCUGAAGAAAGUGAUCAAACUGAUGGCAGCCUUGGAGCGUUGCAGGCACGAAUAGAGGAGCUUGUCGUCAUCAUCAGAGUGCGAACACAAAGUCUUUACAGACAAAAUGAUAGCAACAAGAGGCGACACAGAAUUCGCAAGGUCAUCUUAGUUGAGAAGAAACGCUUGGCGGCUGCUGUUGACGACUACAACAAGCUUGCUGAACCAA